ACUCCUGACCUCAAGUGAUCCGCCCGCCUGGGCCUCUCAAAGUGCUGGGAUAACAGGCCUGAGCCACGGCAUCCGUCCUCAGAAUCUUGUACAGCAAACGGGAUACUUAGAAUUUCCUUCCGCUGGGGAAUGAGUAGCUGUAAGUUAGUUAUCUUCACCUGUCCACUUGACUGUCUGACCUGGUGCAGUAACAGUUCAGAGUCAAAGGAUACUUCUGCUUUGCGUUUUGGCACGCUCAGCAAGAAUAUGCAAGGAAUCAGAUUCAUGGUAGACUGUUUUCUAAAAAAUAAUAGACAUUUUUAACACAAAUUUUGAAGUAAAUUUCUUCAAGUUAAACAUGUAUUCCAGAGUCGGAGGAAAGACCCACUUUGGAGACAUUCUUUCAGAAUUCUCUUCAAAGGCCCUUUUAUUUGCUUUUUCCGGGAGCAGUGAUGCAUUUCUUAAAGAAGCCUUGAUACUUAGUCGUCUUUGAACUUCAGGAGCGUUUUCAAAGGCAAGAGAAGCUGGUUUUCAGGAAUUUGAUUCAUAAUGCAAAAUGUGUAAUAUAUCUGAAUACAGGAGUGUGAAAACAUAGUACUUAAAUAUUUGUGUGAACAUUUUACUGUAUCUAUGUGGGUUUUCAAAGGCCAUAUUUGAAAGGUGAUUAUAAAAUAGCACAUAAGUAUUAUACAUGAGGCACCAUGAGGCAGAAACCAAAUAAAGUAGGUUUUCUAUAUACUCAAGCACCUUGCAGUCUAAAAAGGAACAUAAAGUAAAACAAAAUUAUGCAGAUUAGCAGGGGAGAUAGAGAUACACCCAAUUAAUUGCAGGGAUAAACUAAACUCAUAACUAAUCAAAGUGGCAGAAGGAUUAAAUGGUAUUCUUUGAUUUCAGAAGCCUAGUCUACAUUAUGAUAUUUUUGGAAAUAAGUCUUUUUUGCACCAUUAAAUAGCAUUUUUGAUAGUGUAAUUAUCAUGCCUGCAUGAGUAUUAGAGCUUUCAAAUACACUAUUUUUAUUUUUGCUCUUCUUGCAGUGUUAUAUGAGAAUGACAUAAUACUUAGUUUUAUAACAGAAAUGUAAGUGGUAAGGAAUUUUUCCCCCAUUCUGCUUCAACAGAAACAUGUUUUAUAUGGACAUUUUAAAGUUUUAGAAUCUAAAUGCAAUCCUCAUUCUUAUAACAUUGGUUAAAAAAUAAAAUAAAAGAUCAUCAUUAAGAGCAAUUUGUGCAAGAAACUAAGGUUUGAAUUUCAAUGGCCCAUCCUCAUAUAAAUUCUAUUUUGGAUUCCUAGGUCUCAUCGAUUUGUUGUGAUAUUACAUAUAAAUGAAAAUACCAAAUGUCUUUUGCUUUGUCAGUGAAAAAGUAGUUUGGGCUUAAUAAAUGGUCCAGUGAUGUCUAUUUGGAAGCUUCAUGACAUAUUAAAGCAGUUGAUGAGGAACAUUUGUUGUGGGGUCACGUCUGAUUGAUGGUUUACUACCUAGCACAGCCUCAUCUGCUGUGGUAUUCCCAUAAGAAAUGUUCAUUGCUAGACAGUGCUAAAUGUGCUCUAUCUAAAUCAUUCAUUACUUAUAACAAGUUUUAGUAUAUAUAUGAAUCAAAUGUUGUUUAUAGUUGCCUUCAACAGGAUUUAUCAUUUUGAAGCUUUUCUACCACUUCGAAUGGAAUAACUAAGAUAUAGAUUUUUUAAUAAGUGUUUUGAGCCCAUGGCGGUAAUGUACCAAGAAUUCAAUAACAAAGUAAAUAUUAAGCAAGUUUUCUAAGAUUAAAGUUAGAAUGUAGUUUUGUAACUUUUUUUCUGUUUCUAAAUACAAACAAUUGUAUAUUUUUAUAGUAUGGGGUGUUGGCAAAAUCAUUAAAAUAAAGGGCAAUUUUAAGAUAUUUAGCAUUCAUAAAUAUCACAUGAGGCACACCUUGCUUCCAGCAAUUAGGAAUAACUUAUUUUUUAUAUAUAACAAUUCCAGUUUAUCGUCUGAAACUGCCUUUUAAUUACAAGCUUCUUUUUUUAUAUGUAACCUGUUCUCAUUCCCAUUAAAUCUAAUCUUCAUUCGUUUCAUUUUCUUUCUCAGUGUCUUUCACUCUAUUUGGCUCUUAUUUCCUUUAUGCCUCUAGAUUCCUCUGUUUGGUUUUAACGACAUAAUUUGACAUUCUCAACCCAUGGCCAAUGCUCAGUAAUAUCCGGGCAUCUUUGCAGUCUACAUCACAGCUCCUUCUGAAAUCCCAAAUUUAGGGAAACAUUAAUAUUUGUUAUUGUUCUAUUUUAAGUAAUAUUUGAAUUUUUUUUUUUUUUUCGAGACGUAAUCUCACUCUGUCGCCCAGGCCUGGAGUUCACGAUCUCAACUCACUGCAACUUCUGCCACCCAGGUUCAAGCAAUUCUCCUGUCUCAGCCUCCCAAGUAGCUGGGACUACAGGCGCCCACCACUACGCCUGGCUAGUUUUUGUAUUUUUAGUAGAGACGGAGUUUCACUAUAUCGGUCAGGCUGUUCUCGAACUCCUGACCUCAGGUGAUCCGCCCAGCUCGACCUCCCAAAAUGCUGGGAUUACAGGAGUGAGCCACUGCGCCCGCCCUAAUAUAUGGAUUAUUUAAACUAAUAGAAGAUUUGUUGUCAUGUGUGUAUUACCUGAACCAGGAAAACAUUUGAGAUUAUAUUAAUGACUACAAAAAUAAAAAAUAGGAAUCAUAGAUUGUAUAUUUUGAAUACAUUUCCAUUGUGAAUGGCAAGGCUAGAAGUCACUUUUGUGUUUCCAUGAUUGGAGACAUUUUGAGACAAAUGUUUCCUUUGUCCUGUAUCAAAAGUUAUGGGAAGAGGGAUCAUGGUUUCAGUUAGAAAAAGAGCCUGUGAAUAAUAUUGUAUAACACCAAUUUGCUUUAUGUUUUCUUCAAGUUGUGUAUGUGAAGCAAGGUGUUUUAGGGCCAAAUUUAGUACCCUUUCACAUAUGUUCAUGUAUUUUCAGCAAAGUAACAUUUAAAAUGUCAAUAUAAUUUCGUCAAAAAUUUUUGUUAUUUGACUAAUGAUGCAAAAGUUUGAGGGAACAUUAUUAAAAAUUUUAAAUGUGUUUUCCAUCUUACAGUUUCAAACUCGUAGAUUCAAGUUAAUCAUAUUUUCCAUUUAGUCCCUCUGGGAUUUAUCUCUGCAUAAAACCUAAGAAAUAUAUUCUUAAUUUUCUUUCUUCAUAGACAAUAUAAUCUUGAUAGGUGAAAGCUGUUUACACAUUUCUGAAACCAUUUCACAUUAAUUUGAACUUCAAAUGGAAAUUGACAGGAAAAUCUUUACCCUCUAGCCAAAGAGAGUAAUUUAAUACUUUCCACCUCUGUGGCCACAUAAAAAUAAUUUUUUUUUCCUUCAAAAUAUAUUUAGUGCAUUCCAGAUGAUUCAUCCAUAAUUAACACAAUAAAACUUUACACUGGAUAUCAAAGUAAGUUAUGUAAUAGAAUAAAGUUAUGAGCCAUGUAGGGAAUUGUGUGUGUUUUUUGUUAUAUAACACAACAAUUUUUCACCUUCAGUGCACAUUCAAAUUACUUAGAGGACUUGUUAAAACAAAUUGAUGAACCCCCCUUCCUAGCGGUUUUGAUUCAGUAGGUCUGGGGUGACACCCAAGAAUUUGCUUCUGUAACAAGUUUGCAGGUAAUGCUGUUGCUGCAGGCCCUGGAGCCACACCUUGAGAACGCCUAGUAUAUGUAAACUGGUCUUCAGUGUCAGAAGAGUGUCAUUUAAAAUCAUGGCGUUACCACAUAACAGCCCUGUGACCUUGGAUAGCUUACAUAACCUCUCUAAAAGCUGUGUCUUGAAGUUCGUAAAUUGGAAAAAUCAUGCUACCUGCCCGAGAAGGUUGUUGUGAUCAUUGAGAUAAUGUAUCUAAAAUGCCUAAGACAGUGUCCAGUACAUAUUAGCUGUGCAGUGAUUCUUGACUCUCUUUCCCUUCUGCAAGUGUACGCAGCGUAAAGUCAUGAUUCUCACUGAAUAGAUGAGCUGAGCAAUAUGUCUUGCAUUUCCAUUUGUCUAGCUCUCAGUAAAUUAAGAAAAAAUACAUAGUUAUGUAUGACAUAUUCCAGAUAAUCCUUGAUAAUCUAAUACUCAUCAGAUAAUUGCUCUACUUGAUGGAAAUUUCUUAAUAAAAAGAUGUGGUUGCUGAUCUUAAGGAGCCUCAAUGAUUGCUAUAAAGAGUUGUUUAUAAAAAGCAUUCAACCAGAAUGGCACUUUUGUUCUUCAGGUUUUAGUCAAAAGUUUCUCCCUCAAAAAGGAAUUCUUCUCCACUAACCACGCAAGCAAAAGAAGCCUAGCUUCAUAGUAUUCCAUGGUGUAUAUGUGCCACAUUUUCUUAAUCCAGUCUGUCAUUGUUGGACAUUUGGGUUGGUUCCAAGUCUUUGCUAUUGUGAGUAGUGCCGCAAUAAACAUACUAAAAAUGAUGGUUCAUGUCCUUUGUAGGGACAUGGAUGAAGCUGGAAACCAUCAUUCUCAGCAAACUAUCGCAAGGACAAAAAACCAAGCACCGCAUGUUCUUACUCAUAGGUGGGAAUUGAACAAUGGGAACCCUUGGACACGGGAUGGGGAACAUCACACACUGGGGCCUCUUGUGGGGUGAGGGGAGCAGGAAGGGAUAGCAUUAGGAGAUAUACCUAAUGUAAAUGAUGAGUUAAUUGGUGCAGCACACCAGCAUGGCACAUGUAUACGUAUGUAACAAACCUGCACGUUGUGCACAUGUACCCUAGAACUUAAAGUAUAAUAAAAAAAUAUAUAUAUAUACAUAUAAAAGAAGCCUAGCUUCACCACCCAUAUCAUCAUUAUUAUCAUUGCCUGAAAACUAUUUUACAUCAGUUAUCUUGUUUAAUCAUUUUUUAUUGUUUUUUUCACUAGUAUUUAUGUGUUAGAGAGAAAGGAGCUGGUCUUGCGUAUUUAUCACAGCAUCCCCCACCUCCAGAAAUGCUUGGGAUGUAGAAGUUGGUGAAUGUAUAUUUGUUGAACAAAUUAAUGAAUAUGAGUGUACUUAGAGAAAUCUGCUUGGAUUUUACAGGGGAGGAAGCAUUUAAACUGAGCACCCAGUGAGAGAAAGACAUCUCAAGUUGAAGAAAACACUAAAUGUUAGGGCAUUGAGAGGACAGUAGAAUGCCAUUUUUCUAGUGAUCUACAAGCAGCUUGGCUUUUCUUUUUUUAAGAGAUUGAAAGGGAAGCGGGAGCAAGAGUCACAUAGGCAUAACAGGAAGAAUGUAUCAAUCCGUGCCCAAUGGAGAUCAACACAAGAAUUUUACCCAGUAAAGGAGAACUAUCAGUGGACAUCUAAGUGUCGGUGUUUCUCCUAACUAUAGGAUCAUUGAACUAAACAGAAUGUGUUAAGUAUAGCAUUUAGACAGCUCACUGAUUCUCAAGGUAGAGAAGCAGACCUGGUAAUCCUUUGGGACUAUUAGAAAAAUUAAUGAUUUAGUAAAGAAAGGAGUUACCUGAGGAAGAGGCACACUAUAAUUUUAAAAGGCUAAUAUUUCUAAUUCUGAAAAUAAUUUGAUUAUUACUCCUUGGGAUUUAUUUUGAACAUUUAAUCUUAAACAAGAACAUAAAAAAUACUGUUGAUACUUCAAAUGCUUUUUUUCAUCUAUUUUUUUUCUGUGACUUUGCUUUAAAAAAAAAUUUUUUUUGUUUUUGUAGAGACAGGGUCUUGAAAUGUUGCCCAAGCUAGUCUCAAACUCCUGGACUCAAGUACUCUCAACUCUACCUCCAAAAGUUCUGGGAUUGCAGGCAUGAGCCACCACAUCCAAACUUUUCUGUUUUGUUUUUUUUUUUUUUUUUUUUUUUGAGACAGAGUCUCUCUGGUGCCCAGGCUGGAGUGCAGUGGCGCGAUCUCUGCUCACGGCAACCUCCACUCCUGGGUCCAAGCAAUUCUCCUGCCUCAGCCUCCCAAGUAGCUGGGAUUACAGGUGUGUGCCACCACGCCUGGUUAAUUUUUGUAUUUUUGGUUAGAGACGGGGUUUUACCAUGUUGGCCAGGCUGGUCUUGAACUCCUGACCUCAAGUGAUCUGCCCACCUUGGCCUCCCAAAGUGCUGGGAUUACAGGAGUGAGCCACCACACCCAGCCUUCUGUGUAUUUUUAUAUUUGAAAUGAUAUAAAAUUAAUUUACAUGCUGGUUUUCAUUUUAAUUAUAAAAAAUAUAUUCCCAUCAUCAUCAAAGCCAUAACUUUUUUUUUUUUUGAGACGGAGUCUCGCUCUGUCGCCCAGGCUGGAGUGCAGGGGCGCGAUCUCGGCUCACUGCAAGCUCCACCUCCCGGGUUCACGCCAUUCUCCUGCCUCAGCCUCCCGAGCAGCUGGGACUACAGGCGCCGCCACCACGCCCAGCUAAUUUUUUGUAUUUUUAGUAGAGACAGGGUUUCACCGUGUUAGCCAGGAUGGUCUCGAUCUCCUGACCUUGUGAUCCGCCCGCCUCGUCCUCCCAAAGUGUUGGGAUUACAGGUGUGAGCCACCGCGCCCGGCCUAAAGCCAUAACUUUUAAUGACUGCAUUCUGCUCCAUUUUAUGGGGACAUUACAAUUUACUUAAAUAUUUUUCUCUUGAAUACUCAGAUAGCUUACCAUGUAAACAUAGGUUAUAUUCAGAUUGUUAGCUAGAAGACUACUUGUGUGUAAGCAAGACACCAAAAGUAGUGGCUUAAAUAAAUAGAUACGUAUUUCUCUCAUGAAAAAGAUUGAACUAGCAUUUGCCUGUAUUCUUGAAGCUGUCAUAGGCUCUUUCUGUGUUAUUGAUAUACAGUGACCUAAAAUCUUGUUCUCAUUGACCUGGUUCCAAAAUGGUCCAUGAUAACUUGAGAUCACUGUAUGUACGUAGCAAGAAGAAAAAAAGGAAAAGAAAAUCACUUUGCCAAUGGCUUACUGCAGAAAUUAUGCAUAACGGUUUCAUUCAUUUUCUAUAAGACUUAGUCAUGCUACUCUAGUAAGGGAAGUAGGGAAACACAGCUUCUUUUUGAGGUGAUUCUGUGCCCAGCUAAAUGUUAUCACUAUAAAGGAAUAAGAAAAUGGGUAGUGGUGGAUAAAUGGCAGUCUCUGCUAUGCCUAGUCAAGUUUCUCAUUCCAACAAUGUCCCUUUUAUGGAGAUUAUCUUGGGAAACCACUAAAUUUGAGGCAUGAUUAAAUUUCCUUUUGAAGAAUACUGCAGUGGCCUAAUUCACAAUGUUUCUGCUACUUUCUUUAAAUUAUAUGCUUUCAAAUAUUCACUAAAUACUUCAUUAAUUACUUGAUUUGUGAAAAGCUCAAAGAAUGACGUAACAUUUAAGUCAUCCUCUGGUCUGUGGCAUUGUUUAUUUUAGGCCAUUUUGAGAGUUAAUGGCUAAUUUAUUUUAAAAUAAUCAUCAUAUAAAAACAUAAAUACAUUAUCCAUCUAUAAAUAUAUCAUAUAAAUACAUUCGAAAGAUUUUUUCGUAAGAGCAUUUAACAGGAAGCUGGAUAUCUAAUAAGAUUUUGUUUUAUGAACUACUUUAAGUAUAUAUUUAAUUGUCAAUUAGGUAAAAUAUGAUUCUAAUUCCCAAAAUUAAUGUUUGCAGUUAUGAAUUUUUAAAAUAGAUUCUGAAAAAUGUUAUUGGGUAUUUAAAAAAAACCCACAAUCUCUAUUUUCUGGGGCUUUGUAGAGAAAAAAAGAUAAAAUUGUGUCCAGCAAGUUUGAUUACAGUUAUCCAUUUAAAAACUGAGCAACAGAGACACAUUUUUCCUUCUAGUGGGAUCCUGUCUGAUUUUCAAGCUGUAAAAGUUGAUCUUUCAUUAUUAAACAUUUGUCAUUUUCAUGGCCAAAAUUGUUCAUCUUCCCUAAUCAAAGCUCCCUUGGCCCACUGCAAAUUAUCAGUGAGAUGAGCAGCAGAAACUCAAGUGACAUAGAAAAUAACAGCUCUGUAUACACUAGAAAAUACUAAAAACUCUCCCCUGCUGUAAUAAUACGUAAACACUAUUGGUAUUAUCUUUAACUCAAUUGUUAGGUCCACUUAGGUAAAAUACAUGGGUUGAAGAUUAAAGUGAAAAGAGUUAAUAGAUAGGAAUUAAUAUUUCCUUUCAGUGCUGACAGAAAAUUUACCUUUGCUAACAAAACCAUUUUAUUUUCUCUUAUUUGGUUACGGCUUGCUUGGCCAUUACAGGAUUGUAUCUAUUUUGUAAAAUUUCCCCAGAACUAGGAAAAGCCUCAACACAUAUCACUUACCUAGUAAGUCAUAGCCAUCAUAAUUAUGACAUGGAAGAAGAGAAAGGAGUCAGGGAACAAAAUGAAAAAGAGAACUAGCAAUAAAGGAACUGAAGAAUAGAGGUGUGAAAGAAAAUCUGAUACUUAUUUCUUUAUGCGCAAUGAUAUUCUGAGUAGUUUCAAUUCAAUUGUUUAUUACGUAUACAGCAAGAAUGAAAUUGGGAUUUGAACUUGCCUUAUUCACCUCAAUAGUUGUCUAUUGUCAUUAUGUAUAAUUCUAUUGUUAAUAAAACCCAACGUUCAAAAGUAAUAAAAUUGAUGAGGUUUUGGGCUCCACCAUAGGAGAUUUAUUUUUGAUUUAUUAUUGAAACCCCCGUGGUAAAACUAGAAAUAGAACUUUAAUAUUAGCAGAAGACUGAACUUGUUGUUCUGUGAUUACAUACUCUGGCUUUCCCUCCCACACUGUGAUGAUGGUUACAAUUCAUUUCAUGGUACCUCAAGAGAAAUAUUUGACAUAGGGGGAAAAAGUGCCUAAUAGCUUCUAGUACAUGUAUUUGAGACUUUAAGUACAUAGCUAUAAGGAAUUUAGUUUCCUUCUCAGCCUAUUAGUAAACUUUACAUACCCAACUUUACAUACCCACUGGAUCAAAUGGAGUGUGAGUUCUUGUCUCUUUCCCCUUCUCACAUGUUUCUACCAAGCUGACCUGAAUAUCUUUCUAUACCCCUGCAAUAAGGUACGUUGAAGUUUUAACUUUAUCUCCAAGUUCCUUCUUUUACUUGCUCACUUAAGUGAUCACACUUACUUUGGUUAGUCAUAUAGCAAUUUGAUGACUAAAAAUAGAUUUUCAGGCUCAUACCUGAUAUCCCAGCAUUUAGGGAGGUCAAGGUGAGAGGUUUGCUUAAGGUCACAAAUUCAAGACCAGCCUGGGCGUCAUAAGAAUACACUGACUCUUAAAAAAAAAAAUUAGCCAGACAUAGUGGUGCAUGCCUGUAGUACUAUCUACUUGGGAGGCUGGUCAGCAGGAAGGAUCAUUUGAGCCCAGGAGUUUGAGGUUACAUUGAGCUAUGAUUGCCCCAGUAUGCCCCAGCCUGGGAGAGUGACAGAGCAAGAUCAUGCUUCUUUUUUAAAAAUUAUAUAUAUAAUGCUUAUUAAUUAUAAAUUAAUAUUAUAUAGAAAUUAUGUAUAAUUAUUUUUAUUAAUCAAAUUUAUUUUGUUAUAUAUUUGAUUAAUAAACAUAAUGAAAUUGACAAUGAAGUUGAACCACUGUGUCUUUCUAAAAUCUGGAUGAAUGAAAUCAAAUUUAAGAAAAUAUUUUAGAAAGAUUCCAAGACAAACUGAUCAAAACAGAGCUUUUGAUGUUAGAGCUUUUGAAUGUCUUAAGGAUGCCUUCAUGACUUAAAUCUGAAAAACUGUUGAAGUUUUGUAAAAUCUAACUGUGCAAAUAAAUGUCUAAAAGCAAAUUUUGCAUUUCAAUGUGUUAUUACUACUUGAUAUUUCUUAGUCCAUCAAUGAUAUUUUUAAAUGUAAAACACUUCUAUUUAUGACAUUUUAUAUGUCCUUUAAACUUAUCUAAAUAUUUCACUUCAGUUUGCCUUUUUAGAGCUUUUCUGGAUUUUUAUGAUCUGAAUGGCAUAUUUUCAAAAUAUUGUAUUUGAUAAAAAAGUGAAGAGUAAACACUGAUGCACCUGAUUGUGUGUACUUGUAAAUACAGCUUCCUAGGCAAUAGAUUAGAUUUAGAUGUUGUGUCUCAAAUAUUUGCUGCAAGGUUUCAUUUUACCCACAAAAUGCAUUCAGAUUUUGAAACGCAUGCUUUAGUGGAAUAUAAAUAAUAUAAAGCAAUAAGGUAUAUAUAGCAAUAAGAUAUAUUGGAAACCAUAUACUGUUUCUAGAUAUGUCACCUGUUUUGGACAGUGGCAUAUGAGAUUAUGUUAUGAGGACAAAAGAUUGACCUGGGAGUUUAUCUUUCUCUUUCAAGAACUCUGAACAUGGGCGAGACACCUGCCCUCUAUGUGUUAAUUUCCUCUUCCAUAUGGUAUGCAUGUUAAGUUUACUCAUCAUGAUUAUUCUCCUUAGCAAAUUGGAAUCUGCGUCAUUUUUAUUUGAACAGCAAUUCCAGAUCACUCACAGACACCAAGAGUAUAGUAAACGCAUGCUGUGUGCAGCACCACUUUGAAUAUGAGUUUGAUUUGGGGCUUAUCACAUUUCCUUAUUUGGGUGUAUAUUGUUAUUAAUCGUUACAAUAAUUCAUAUGUUUAUAUCUCCAAGUUUAUUAAUUUGUAGGAAAUUAAAAUCUUGUAAUGUUUGUGUCUGUAACACAAAUAUUAACAUAUAUAUGUGUAAUUCUUCCAUAAGUGCCUGUCUUACUACAUAUAAUCUGGGGGAAUUUUUCAAAGUUUAGCAUAGAGCUAUUAAUUCAUCUUUACUAUAAUCAUCGACUAUUUAAUACCACCAAAAUUCCCCUGGUACCACCAAAGUCUAUUGCAUAAACUACUAGCUACAAAUCCUAACAAAAAUGAACCAAUUGCAAAAAAAAAAAACUUAGAAAAUUAAGAUUAUAUAUCAAAAUAUAAUUACGUAAUAAGAAGCUAGUUAAUUGCACAACACUGACUGUGAUUUUACUAGUAGAGCAGGAACACUUGAAAAAUACAAAGAUGAGUUAAAAGCAAUUGCAUAUUAUUCUAACAAAAAAAUUCAUGCUGGCAAGCUGUCCUUUUGGUCUCCCUCAGCCUUCAGUCAAUUUCAUUUAUCUUCCAAGUUACCUUAACCUUGUGGGAUAGAACAGUAUCCAACAUUUCACCUCCUUGACCAUGUUCAAGAAAGCUUGUUUGUCUUGGGCAUAAUAUUUUAGCCAAUCCUGGAUGCCAGUCUAUCACUCUAACUGAUAUAUUUCUAACCAGAAUAAUAUGAGUAUAAAAAUAUAAGUAAUGUGAAGUCUACAGUACUGAAGCCCUGAAUGGAUUUAUACUGCUUUACAGCAUAUGUGAUUUAAAGCUAAUGGUGUAUCUCAACAUUUUAUAAGCAUUUAACUUUUGCAGAAAUCACAUUCUAGGUCACAAAGCAUAUUAUGAUUUUAAAAUAUUAUAUAGCUUCCCAUUUUUGGAAGGGCAUUUGUUUAAUGGUUGGGAGAGCCCGGCAAGUUGUCAUUCAUUGAAAAUGAUUCUUACCUUUAGCUGAUGGAUAAAUAAGAUGUCAAUGCUGCAAAUAAAAUGAACUUUUUUUAGUUCUAAAAAAAUGCAUUGCUCAUGUUCCAAGCACUAAGAAAGUAACCAUCAGAGUUCUUAUAUUCUGCCACAAGAAUUAUAAUAUGUUAGUAAUUAGCAUGCGGAAAUAUCUUAAUAAAAAUUCUUCAGGAUAAGUCUGCCAUUUGGGAACUGACAGUAAAAUAAAGGCAAAAAUGUAAUGAAUUUAUCUCAUUUGUUUUGUGAAUCUUGUAGGAGUGUUCUGUCUCCUUAAAGAUCAUUACCUGUUCUUCAGCUGGUACAGCUAUAUUUUCUAAAGGUCAGAAUCAGUGUAAUAUUAGUUCAUUUUCCCCUUCAAUUAAACAAAUUAUUUGUGAUAUAUGAGGAAAUUUGUUAUCAGAUUUAACUUGUCAGAAAUGCUACCAUAACAAUAUUAGACUAACUACUGUAAGGAAAAAAAGAAUAAACACAAAACUUCAAAUCUCAGAGACUUACCUGCUCACAUCACCUUCUAAAGGUCUCUUUCCUGCAGCGAUACAGGUUCCUUGGUCUCUUUCCUGCAGUGAUACAGGUUCCUUUUCUCUAAUGCCUCUGCUGUCCCCUACUACGGGUCCAAUCCAGCCCACAGCUUGUUUCGUAUGGCCCCAGAACUAAGAAUGCUUUUCGCUUUUUUAAAGCGUAAAAAAAAAAAAAAAAAAAAAAGGAAAAAUAUGUGUUUGAAGAAUUACGUGUCUUGCAAAUGUAUAAUAUUUACUAUCUCUUUACAAAAAAAAAAAAAAGAUGUGUUGAUAUUUUCCCUUGUGCUGUGGACUGUUCAACUGGAUCAUUUACAUUAGGCCAACUGAUUUGAGAAGAGAGAAAAUGCUUGGGAAAUUCACUGGAAAUUUCCAUAGCCCUGCAGAUUGUGUCUGUACUUUUUCCAAUAUUCUGUUGGUCAGAAUCAGUCACUUUGACAUACCUAACCAAAAAGGAAGCUGGGAAACAUAGUUGUGUUGGAUGCUUAAGAGCAAAAGGAAAAUGGCUUAAAAAAUAACUAUUAGCUGCCAUGUUUAAAAUGGGACGUAAAAAAAGUGAACACUUGCAACAGAUGAUGUAGCACUAUAUUUUGUAAGAGUAUUUUCUGAAUGAAUCUUUCACUAUGGUGGAGACUUCUAGCAUAUGUUUCCUCUUUUUCCAAUUAUCCAGGUGAAUAACAAUUUCCUAUCCACUUAUAGUUAGGGGCGUAUAACAUAAAACAAUACUUUGGUAUAAAAUUUGGAAAGCUGUCUUUGAAAAUAUUCCACAAUGUUAUGAAACAGUGUUUACAGACAAUAAAGUAGAGGAUUGUUUCUUUCCUGGUAGACAAUCUAAUUAGGUCAACAUGUUGACUGUUGGUCCCCAUGAACUUCCCUCAAAUCUUGUGAUUCUGCCUGUGAGAUCCUCACAAUUCCUUUAACAGGCUCUGUCUCUGUUACCAUCCCAACUCAUCUCCAAAACUUUCAUGAACUAUGAAGAGUCUUAGAUUUUACCCAUCUUGCAAACUAACAAGUAAGCCUGUCAUGAUUUCAUGGAUCCUCAGAGAAGACACGUGACUCUCAGGUGAGAGACAUAGAUCUUUGUUACUCCCAGCACAGCAAACAUCAUCAACAUACACAUGCCUGAGUGUUUCAAUCCCCCUUGAACCCAAGUCUUAUAGAAGCAACACAGAUGAGCCCAGAUGAAUGACUGCACAGAGUGGGUGCCACUUCAGGAGAACUAUGAGUGUAGGGAACCCAACUUUUUUAUGAAUGGUAGUAAGCAUGCCUGCUCUUAGCUCUGGGAGGAAAUCGGCUAUAAGCAAAUCUACCUUUUGCUCUGGAUGGAUACACUAUCUCUAUCUUCCAAGGCUGUUCAACCUGUAUAUAUCCUUACAAAUAUAUCCUAUAACAAAGGGCAAUUAUAUGCUAGCCAUGCUAGCAAGACAGAGAAAAAAAUCACUAGAGUAUGGUAGGGAAUUUUUUACAGAAUUAUUGUCAUUGGACUACUGUAUUUUCAAAAUAUAUCUGGUACAUGUACAGAUUUAUAUUAGAGGCCCACUUAAUAGUAGGUAUAGAUAGAUUAAUUAAAAUCUAUACCCACUGUUUAUAGGGAAAAAAACUGAAUGAAAUCAUCAUUUCUAUUAGUGACACAGUUGUUUGAAUGGCCAAUUUUAUGUAACUACAGAAUGAUGCAAUUUCAUUAAAAUUGAUUAUUAUAUAGUUAUAACAUGUAAGUAGCUUGUUUGCAUUAUAAAUGUUGAUAGUUGUGAUUCAAAUUUUAUUGAAUGGUAAUCAAAUGUUCCAAAGACAAGAACACAUAGGUCUUUCUCGGUAAAUAUAAUUUCUAUUCAAUUACCAGAAACUCUUCUCUAGUUCAGAAAUCUAACUUGUGAAUUGUUCAAGGUGGAAUUCAGCUAAUAUUACAAACCUCUACGUAUGGUGUGGUAUAUUUAUUGAAUAAAACUCUCACAGACCAAAUAAUCUCUAUUAGUACUCUCUAUCCAAGAAGAACCAAAGUGAAAACAACCUAUAUACUGUGUUGUAAGCAUAAUUCUUCCAUUUUUGUUUGCCCUAAGUGAUAAAAAUUCCUGAUGUCUUCAUCUGUAGCAUGAUUUUCCUAGCUGAGUUUAGUGUGGAAUUCAAUAUAUGUCUAAUAAAUGAAUGACUGGUAACACACAGGUGUCUAUCUGCAUAAGGUGAUUUAUCUGAGGAAUGAAGUCCUUCUAGAAUGAAGUUUUGCACAUGAGAACUUAUCGAAUAUAACCUAUAAAUCAGAGGGAAAGAGAGAAAUGCUCUCAGGUUAGUGCAAACGUAACUGCGGUUUUUGCCAUUGAAACUAAUGGUAAAAACCGCAAUUACGUUUGCACCAACCUAAUAUAAAUAUUGGCAUGUUUAUUGUUAGAGAGGUGUUUAAGUGACAAAGCAAGACAUAAAUCAGGAAAUGGUAUCAUGCAGUAUUGGUGUGGUGAGAUUUUGGCCUUAGAAGUCGAAUGCAACCAUGAGGAAACUGCUGUGCCCAGCAGUAUAGUAGAAAAUCUGCAGAAAUGAAUUUAUUUUUUGAGCACAAAUGAGACAGCCCUUGUAGCCUCCAAAGAUAUUUGGUGAGGAUUUAAUUUGGUGCCACUUAUUCUAGUAAAUCAGAAUGCAAAAUCUGAUUCAUUACUUCUAUUUUGAUCUUGAUGUGUCCAAAGAUUUUAUAAACCUGAGUAAAUUUGGUUUGUACUAAAAGCAUUUUGAUAUACCUUGAAUCUAUCUUUAAAGUGGGGCUGUUUUUCCCCAUUCCUUUCCAGCUCUUCUUUUCUCUUUGUAUAAAAGUAUGUCAAUGAAUUCUAUUAAGUUUAAGCUAUUAUGACAGUAAAUUCUUAAACUUUAAAAAAAUAAUUUCUACUUAAUCUUUUAUAAUAAUCAUGUUGGAAGAUAAUUUAUUUGUUUGAGUUAAAACAAUUGAAUGUAAGAAAAGAGUCUGUUAAAAAUUGAUAGACUGAUAGCCUGGAUUACGUUUUGCUAUUCAAGGGUAUUUACACUUCAGGUUUUUACAAUGCAACCUAAUUUUGCAAAUAUUUAUUAACACAACUAUACAAAAGUGUGAUAUGCAUAUCUUCAGAUAACUGAUGACAUGAUUCUGUCUGCUUAAAGUAUGAGAAAAAAUUUCAUGAAGACUUUAAAGGUAUUGGUGAAAUUCUACUUUUUUCAAAUCUACUAGUUAUUUUGGUCAUCAGAACUCUUUGAUCAAGGGAAUGUUCUUUAAGCUAUAUUUUCAAAGAUUAAAAGUCAAGGAACUCCAAAACUCAGAAGUCGGGAUAGGAGUUAUUUGUAGUAGUCUAUGUGAAACGUGGACCUAUUUCAGAAAAGGCUCUAUUACUUGGUCACUAAUGAAAUAGCAGAAAUGAUGGAUAAAAAGAAGAGGAACAAAUGUCUUACAGGUUUAAGCCUAAAGACAGAAAUUAAUCUAGUGGAUUUGGUUUAGGAAAUUAUAUGUUCUGUUUUGAAUAGGUCGAUCUGGGUUAAAAUGCCCAUUAUACAGUUAAAUAUGUGCUGAGAGAAAAACCAGAGUAAAGUCAAGAAUUUGGGAAAUAUCUAGAUGUGAUAAUAACAGUGACUGUGGACAAAAUGUAUAUUUUAGUUUCCAUCCAGGGUGUUUAAUACACCUUAUUAUACUUAAUCCUCAUUAACCCUAAAGCAGUAAGUAUUUAUCUGUAUAAGAAAUUGCUCUUUUAUGAAGUUAAAUAACUUGAGAAGUACUAUUCAGUUAUUUCUAGACCUGGAUUUCAGUUCAGAUCUGUAUAACUGUGAAGAUGGCAUGCUCUUAACUCCUGAGCGCCACUGCCUUUUGUGAUGAUGGUUUAAAUUUUGAAUAUGACAGAAGUCAGAGAGAUAAUAAGCAAGGUUUUGGAGAGAAAAAAGAAAAGAACUUAGGAUACAAGGAGGUGUGUCGGGGAGGAGGUGUCCAUAUGAAUAUAAGGCCAAGACAGAAACUGCAGCAGGAACAAAACUCCUGGGUGAAUCUCUGGAGACCCAAGUCAUGGGAAAGGCCUCUGUGAGGUCCAGGGAAAGCAGGUCUUUUAUUUGCACACUUUUUUUUCUGUCGCUCUUUGUAACUAGACUUUUCAAAAUAGGUGAGUAUGAAUGUGAGAUGUGUGAGAAUGUGUAUAAACAUGUGCAGGUGUGUUUCAAGAGUAGGCAGGAUAUCUUUUUUCUUUUCUUUCUUUUUUUUUUUUUUUUUUAAGCACAGGGGAAAUAUUUUCAACAAGAAAACUAUUAUUCCUGGUUGAAUUAUAACAAAACUAUUUUUGGCACUGAAAUUUUCCUUGGGUUCCCUAGCUGUGAUCUGAUGAAAUGUUUUCCCUGAUUUUUUUAACCAUAAAAUAUAUCUAAAGAGUAAAAUAAAUUUGAGCCUUCCUAGUUUUGUAGGAGAAAUGAAUUUUCAGGUACUGAAAAAUUGUCCUGAUAUUAAAACCCCAAAAUAAUUUCUUGAGCCUAAGAGACCAUCACAGAACAUAAAGAUGAGGUUUUCAGUCCUCCUGUUUAAUAUAAAUUAUUGAAUUGCUGAAAGUUUUAUUUAUGAAAUUUCCUUUCAUAUAUUUAAUUUUCUGUAACUCUUUGUGAUUCAGUUUUAUUUGUUAUUACCUAAAGCGUACCAAACUCCAAGUUUGUAUUGUCAGGUAUUUUAUUAUUUUAAAUGUAAAAGUGCUCCUUUAGACAGUCAUUUUUUAUUCCCAACUGAUCUCGGUUUCUCUUUAAUCUACUCACCCUGCUCCAGAAGGCAGGCUCUAUGGGGGUUCUAAAAUGGAUCAGGCUUUGUCCUUACAGGCCAGUUAGCUCCGGCUUUGAUCACACAAAAGGGAAAGCACUAAAGAUCAGCCUUGUCCUUCUGGAAGCUUCCCUCUUGGGACCACUAAAGAAGGCUGUCUUUGUUUCUUUAUUUUUCUUUAAGAAUUUAAUAAUCUCUGAGGAAAGGAAUGUUAGCUCUCCAAGUUACUAGUACUAACAGUUUUUUAUAGUCCAUUAAGAGAAUUUUUUUUUUUUUUUUGAGACAGAGUCUCGCUCUGUUGCCCAGGCUGGAGUGCAGUGGCGUGAUCUUGGCUUACUGCAAGCUCCGCCUGGCAACAACAACAACAAAUGUAGGCUACACCUCUUCCUUAGAAAGCAUUGACGGUAAGUCUAACAUAUUCCCUGUAUUCACUUUUGAAAACUGAGGUCAAGACUAUUUUCAGGGUGGGAGUUUUUGACUUUUAAAUUACUUUCUGGUUUUGGUUCCAUUAAAUAUUACUCUUUUGGCCUUCAAAAUCAUGUCUGAUGGCAUGUAGUCUACAGUUGCAUAAUAUAGCAGUUAGAAAUGUGGGCAAUGUCUAUUAAAAAUACAUAUUUUAUUGUCCAGAGCCACUAGAUGACUUAGCAACCAUUUCAUGUUUCACAGACACACAUUCAUUCAUUCAUGUUUUCUCCAUUGAGAUUUGUCGAUAACGUUUUCCAGUCAAUCAUAUUAUGAGAAUUUAGCCUACAUUUUACAUCCUUCUAAGGGAUCUAAAAAAUAUGAGCUUUCUCCCAUCUCUUCAGCAAAACUUUGCCUGAUAUACUCACUGAGUGACAACAUGAAAGCAAAAUAAAUUACUCUGUAUGCUCCCUGUGUGGCCUCCUGUUAUAACAGGGCCACUUUGCAUCAAUUGAGAAUAAAAGCAUAAUGAUAUACUCCCUAAUGUGAAGAUGAUGCAGUCUGAUAGAUAUAAGCACAGCUUGAAGAAGGUUAUGCCUACAUUGGAGCCAAAGGUUCAUAGCUUUUGUGGCUGAACACCUAAGGAGAAAUACCAUUCAGACAAAAUAAAAAAAAAAUGGAUUAUGUCUCUUUACGUUUAGCAGUCCUUGCUGGGAAUUAGAUUUGUUUUGAGUAAAAUUACUGGAAGACACACUAGCAGAGUAUCAAUUUAUAUUCUGAUAAACACUUUUUACUGUAUCCACCUUCAUAUCACCUACUCUGUCCUAAACCCCAAGGCAUAGAUUCUCCUGCUUUGACCUGAGGAUUUAUUAGUUAAUGCCUUAGGUACAAAAGAACAAACAGCCAAAAAACUGUAAUGAGAACAUUUUUACUUUAAGGAACAGAAUUAUUGAUUUUAUUUAUAUUGAGUUUAAACAGUUUAGAAAAUUUCUGUCAAAAUUGUGUGUGAUGAUGUUAGUGUGUGUGCAUUUUUAGGUGUGAAUUCUCACUUUCUAAUAACAGAAGGUAUAUAUUUAAGUGUUGCAAAUUCAAAAUAGCUUUAUAAAUAUGAUGUAAUAAUUCAGAGGAGAUGAAUUAUUUGCUUGAAAUUUGCCUGUUCUGGUCAAAGCUGCUGCUCUAAUCUGAGGCACUAAGUGUGAUUUUGUUCUGUUUAACUUAUUUAUAAUCUUAUACUUUUUAGAGUUGUGCUUUUGAAACAAAGAUGAUUCAGCAACCCAGAAAGACAAAAGGGGUGGUCAUAUUUCACUCUCCCCUGAUUCUGUGUAAUUACAACCAAGCACAAAAAGGCAACAGAGAAAUGGGUCUUUGAUUGUGAGAAAUACCUGGAAAAUAACAUUAGUAAAUUACUUUGCAGUGUCUGUUGUGAAUUUGUAUUUUUCCACAAGUGGCCCCAAACAUCAUACUAUAUAUUAAGCAAUCUAAUGUUUAAAAUAGUAUUUAUUAUAUUGUUAAUGUGAUACAAUUGAAUGAGGAUGUUGGAUUGGACUUUCAACUAUUCAAGAAUGACGGAUGAAGUCUAAAGCUAAAAAUCCGUCAGUUACCCAUAUGCUGAAAACUGCUACCUUUGAGGCUUCAAACACUUGCAUCGUCUGCCCAAGCACUAUCCGCCAUCAUUCCACAGUCUCACACAGUCAGUAUCAGUCUUCAGCAUCGUCCGCCCAAGCACUGUCCGCCAUCAUUCCACUGUCUCACACACAGUCAGUAUCAGUCUUCAGCAUCAUCCGCCCAAGCACUGUCCGCCAUCAUUCCACAGUCUCCCACAGUCAGUAUCAGUCUUCAUAAGAAGUCUGGGGAAGAACAAAGAUUGGGUUGCAUCUUCUGGGGAGGCAAGUAAUUGUUGGGAGAGGCAAUCUUCCUGACUGGAGAUGCUCUGGUAAAGUGGAGGUGGGGCAAAUACUGUUUUUGGAAAAUUGCUCUUCAUUUGCCUUAAAUAGGGAAACACUGACCUAUGAAUUACCAUUCCAAAGAUAUAGGUUAAAGUGCAGAAAUUGGCAUGACCUCAGCGUCGCCACACAGAAACAAGUGAAGACCUCUACUAAUGGAAACAUUUAAGAAGAAUUAGGCUACUUCUCCUGAAGGCAGCCCUUGGCAUCAGCAAAAGCAAGGGUAAAAGUUAAAAUUACCCCCAAGAACAUCAUGGCACAACCUGUGGGUAGCCCAUUAGUGCCAUGAAAAAUUAUACUAAAUUAGAGACUAAGGUCACAUCCCACAUCGAGGUACAACCAAUUAUGUGCUAUAUCUGCUUCUCCAUCUCCCCUUCCUCCUUUCAGCACUGGAGGAAUUUAUCCACAGAGAAGGUUUGGCAAAGCUCAACUGUUCUUUUCAGCCAAGGCCGUCUAACCACAAAUCUAAAUUGCCCUGAAGGAUGGACAGUGAAGACUGAAUUAGCUAUAUCAUUGGACAGUGUUAUUAUUGAACAUGUUCAAAAAGUUAUGGAGGCUGGUGAAAUGCCAUCAAGGAGUGGAAAGGGGAAUUUAUUAUACCAUAUUUAAAGCAGCUUAAGUCACGGUUGUGUAUUUAUACCCCAAGGAAUUGAUUUUCUUCAAUAAACCAGUUAUACAUGGCAACUUUAAUCAAAUUUCUAGUUCCUAGGGGCCUUCUGGUAAUCUUACUGUUUAAGAUCUCUGUUCCAUUUGUAAGGGGCAGAGCAAGGAUUUAAACUCUGCAUAAGUGUCUAUUCCUUUUGAUCAAUUGAGCCUAAAGAAAGCCUAUGUAACAUAUUUUUAAAAGAUUUUUUUAAAAGUACUUCCUGAUUUGUUUAUAAUUGUGAAAAUAAAUAUCAAAACAAAAAAGCACUAAAAUGAUAGCAUAUAUAAUUGAUGGCAAAUUAUAGUUUGUUUUAUAUACUCCUAUCUCCCAAUUUUGUAAUAAAUAAUACUAAUAGCAGGCAUUAAUUAAACAUCUAUGAAAUCUGAGAGACUAUUUGAAGUACUUUACAUAUACUCAUUUAGCUUAUCACAGCAAUCCUAAGACACAAGAAGAACACCAUUACCCCCAUCUUACUGACUAUGAAACUGAGUCCUGGAGAGACAUUUUCAAGGCCACACAGUUAUUUGUUGACAAAGUCUGAAUUUACACUUAGAAAAUCUGAUUUCAGAAGUGUGAGCUUCAGAUUUAUUUUUGUGUGUGCUUAAGAUAUCAAGUUGCAUUUACCUGGAAAAUGUGCCAAGAACUGGAAAGGGUCUGAGAUUUCACGUUACUUGCAAGCUAACAAGUUAGCCUGCCACAGUGUAACGGAUGCUGGCAGAAGGCAUGAGACUCUUAAGUCAGAAACAAAGGACAGUUAUUACUCACAGCAAUAGUAGUAGCAGGGCCAUCAUCAUUUUUCUUGUGUCAGUGUUUUUGGGCCCCAAUUUCCGCAGGAACACAUGGAAAGAUUCAGAUGACACCUGCAUAUAUGGUGGAUUGCGCUACAGAAGAGGAAUUCCAUGCUUACACUGGACAAUAAGCAUGCCCGCCCAUUGCUCCAGAGGGAGACAGUAUCUUUAGCUUCAAAGGCUAUGAGCAAACCUGCCCUUUGCUCCAGAGGGAGAGACUAUUUCUGUUUUCCAAGGCUGUUCACUAUACAAACUUCUUCAAAAGAUAGUUUGAAACAAAUACCAUCAGUACCUUUGCUCACAAACAAGCAGAAAUGAGAGAGUAUUAAGGACUGUCUCCCAAUAAAGCUUUGUACACCCCAUUAUCAAUGGCAAAGUCAUGAAAAUGUUAGAAUUAGUGACACACUUGGGAAUGAAUUUAGGAUUUAAACUUUUCUUCUUGGGAUUUUUCAUUUUUUGUUUUUUCUACUCACAGUACACUUAUGCAAUAGGAGAUAAUUGCUUUGCUUUGUGUCAUAAACAUGUUAGAACAUUUACAUCUGUUUUCCAUAACUGAUAUGUCUCCACUUGCUUUUCUUCAUCUUUUCAACCCAGAGAGAAUAUCACAUUCUCCUUAGUGCAGAUCCAGGCUUAGCACUUUGAAAUAUAUCUUCAGUUGUAAUUGCCAUUUUCUCUGGUUGAGAAAGUUUAUUUCCAUUAUAACCUACAUGAUAUUUUAUAACAAGACUUAUACCAAAUGUGCUGAGUUUUAACUAGCUUUAUGAAUUUGAAGUGACUUUCUCUUGCUAUUCAAUAAUGUUCAAUAUAAAUACCAAUGUUAAAAAUAUGAUAUUUAAUAUAAUCAUUAAUGACUUGGAGACUGAGAGAUACCACAGAAGUCUGAAAGCAUUAAUUACUUUAAUGGGAGCUUAUUUUUAAUCUUAUAUAUAAAAUUUUCUUAAAGUAUUGAAAAAUUUUUAAAAGACUUACUGUCUACAGCCAAAGAGAAAUCAGUAAAGACUUACAUGAAACAAGUAGAAACACUAAAUAGAAUUUGCCAUCUCCUUUUUCUGUUUAGUUUUUAUAGACAUUUUUUCAUGAAGACAAACACUGAUUAUCUGUUAUCAGAAGAAGUUAACAUUCCUAGUCUGCUCAUAAAAGGAUCCUGGAAAAAGACAAUCGGGACACAUAAGCAUCUGUCUUGGAAAAAUGAGUGAAAUUGCCUGGCCAGUGUCUGCAGAAUUAAAGAAAUGGCUGAGCACCCACACUGGGAAAAAACUACUUCCUCAAGUUGACAAAGUGGCUAUGACUAGUUGGAGUGAGGCAAGUCAGGCACAUCCCCUCGUUCCUACUGGUUUUCCUCCACAACCCUGCUUCCUCUUCUUGCUUGCUCUCAAUUUGUUUCAUUCUUUUGUUUCAUUGUGGAGUAAAGUCCCAGCUUCAGAUUAGAUCAAAAUUUUGUUCAAAUGAUUUGAAAACAUUUUUAUAGCUAGAAUAAUUAUGUGGAGCUACUUAUAAAAUACUCCAGCCUGAUGUUUAAUUCCCUAGGCAGAUUUGAAUGAAAAUGAGUUGAACUGGUUUCUUUAGUAUAGUAUUUGUGACUAUUACCUCACUAAAAUGACUAAGGACAAAAAAAUGGUCCCGAAAACUUGGGUGUUACUCUUGUGUUCAUGAAUGAUUGAUGAAGCGGCCUUUAUGUGCAGUCUCCUGUGGAUUGCAGAACCAGCAACUUUGGUCCUUUAUGAGACAGAGUUUUAUUAGAGUUCCCCAUAAAUAUCAAGUUAUAAAUAAACUGUGUCUGGAAAGUGCUUCAACUGAAUUCCAGGCUGCUCACUAAUUGGCCUACCACAGAUGGCUAUAACAAAAUAACUAACAAUUAGAUUACCCCAUUGUUACAAAUUCACUCUGAAAAUAGCAAGGCACACGUGGCUUUUGACAAGAGGUUGCAGGAAGAAGGUGUAGAACAACUUGUUAAAUAUUAAUCAAGAUUUUAAUUCAAGAACAGCCUGGCGUUUCCUCUCCCAAAAUACAAUUCUAACUUAGCAGUCACCGUCAGCAUAGUGAUGAUUCGUCGGACUUUGCAUUGUACACAUGGAUUAAUGCAAAUGCACAUAAAUGCAAACAAGGUUAAAAUGGAAAAUGCAAUGGAAAGAUGAAAUACUGCUUUGGAUCCCUGUUUCACGCAGAUGACAGAGGCAGGUCUGUCCUGAUAUGAUCUUUUUAGCCAUUUCAAUAACUAAAUUCUCAUGAAGAGAAUGAGCGAGAGAGUUUUAUGUCAUGCUUUAUGGUACAAUAUGGUUUUGUGUAGGCAUAAGAACAGUAUUUUAAGUGCUAAUCAUAAGUUGGCAAAUAUAACUUUAAUAACGAAGGAGAAACUUGAGAGAAUUCAAGAAAUAAUACUUAAAAAUUAAUAUCCCAUUUCUCUAGUCUGUGGGGUAGAGGUAGUUGUGCUUCAUCUAUAUAAAAGUCUUAUUGAGUUCAUGUGCAGAAUUUAAUGAACUACAUUGCACAUUCAGCCACAUCUGCUUUGUUGCCUAACAUUUCUCAUACUCAUUGGGCCUGUUUGGUUCACCUAAGUUAAAAUUUAGGCAGACAUCAAUAGGUGUUAGCAGAAAAUGAAGAAGUCUAUACCUUCCUUUUUGUUCAGAAAUGUUUUUCUCAAACAUGGAAAUACAAGGCAAAGACCAUAGUCUUUGAGACACUACAACCUUCGCAACCUGUUCUUUGAGAACAUCACAUUGUGUUUAUUGGAUGGGUUCAGGAGGAGUUCUUUUAAGAAAAUAUAUUUUCUUAGAACUUAGAGAACUCUCUAAACGCACUUCUAAUUAACACCUAAAUUCUUUCUUUUAGGCGAGACAGAGACUUUCUUUGCAUAACAACGUCUGGGGCAUUUGCAAAUCUCAGCUUGCUUCACGUUUUUAGGGGCUGCAAUUCUUGUGACCAGAAAUGCAUGUGAAAGCAAAUUUAUUACAGUCGGAGACGAAGAACAGUUAACUAAAAAUGAUCUCUGAUUGAGAAUAGCAACAUUAGAUGUCUGACAUCUGUUUCCCUAGUUGUUUUAAAACUCAACAUAGACGAAGCAUUUUAAAUCGUAAUGCAAAGCAUACUCCCAAUUCAAGGCAUUCAAAAAUUCAGUAGCUUCAUUUUACAAGAUAACUAAUUUUCAAAUACACAACUAUUAAAAUACUUGACAAAAACUGAGCAGUUCAUAUAUGUUAAAAUAUGCUUUUAAAUGUUUUGAAUUCCAGCUGUUUCUUUUUCUGUUCUUAGUAAGAAGAAAGUGCCACAACUCUGGAUUUCAAUACAUACAUUCGUAUAACCUUUUCCUAAAUUAAGGAGAACAUUUGGGGAACACUUUCACAAGGUUUGAAAGAAUAACUUCUACUUUAGAUAGAGUAAGUCCUUAACAAAAUAAAUCUCUUUUGAUGGUGUGCUUUUGAUUGAUUAGGACUUCAUUAUGUUUUUAUAAAUUAUUAUUAAAAUGCUAAUAGUGAAGAUAGUCAUUACUAUUUAUGAUUACUUAGAGCCCUCACUUGCUUAUUAUGCCUGUACAAUAAUUUAUUACUGCUUUGUUUGUGGGAAGUUAUAUAUAAAACCAGUAAUAUAUUAAACCCUAAUUUCCAUUCUAAUAUCAAGUGAAAAAAAUCAUCUGAAGGUGAUGAAUUUUCGGUGUCACAAAUCACUGUCACACAUUCUAGGCAAGUGAUAUUUUUAGAGAGGUUUUGGGAAACGUAAUGAAAAAAUUAUGAAGGAAAAGUCACUUCUUUCAUAUAGGAAAAACUGCUGGGUAUAAGUAGAGGAAAAGAGAAGCCUCAGCACAGAUGUCUGUUUACAUGUAUCAUACCUGCCAUGGACUUUUUAUGAGAUUUUUUGUAAAUUACUAAACUAAGAUGUUUCUCCAUUUAUUCAUUUUAAAAAUAAGUUUUAUAAAUCCAAUUUUCCUAUUUCACAGAACUGUUAGGACCCAGUGAAAUAUUUUGUUAAGCAUUUGAAAGUUCCAUGCAUAUAUCUGGAUAUGUGUGUAUGUGUAUGUUUAUGUGUAUGUGUAUGUGUAUGUGUGUGUGUGUGUGUAUGUAUGCAUGGGGGUGUUUGUGUUUGCAAGUGAUGCUAUUAUAUUCACUCCUUAGGUAAGAAGCGACUUAGUUUCUGUCUUAUUUUAAGCAAACCGCCACACAUUUUAAUCAGUAUUAAAAUGAUAAUUGAUUACAAUUUUUUGGUUUUGACCAUGUGGCAGAUAAUGUAUCUUCUGUUUGUUAUCAAUAGGUAAUAGUGAGAAUUAAAUUAGUUAACAUUAGGAAAUUGUAUGUAGGUUAACAGUGCCUGACAAUAGCUAAGAGUUUAGCAAUAAUUCUAUUAUUAUUAUUUCAUCUACAUAUCAUUUAUUUAGAAAACUAAUGCUGUGAAAAAGGUAACAAUAAUCUUCAGUUUUGGCUGAGGAAGCUGAGACUUGGAAGGUGUGAAGGAAGUAUUCUGAAAUCAAAUUGUGAAUAUCAGGAUGAGAAUUGGAUGGCAACUGGUUGAGCUAUGAGCUCAUGGUUCUUAACUGUUACAUUCUGCAAAUAUUCUAACCUAUAUAUUCACUUAUUCCUUAAAAUUCACGGAUAAUAAGUAUAUCUAACACUGAAAUUGGAAUCAUGUUACUUCACUGACAACACCUGCAUAGCAAUCUGAGAUGACUGGAUAAAUAAAAAAUUCUUAAAAUAGAUGACAGAUACAUCCAUAUAAAGAAAGUAUCUAGCAUUGGCACUUUCCCCAGUCAUUAGGUAAUAUUUAGAUGAAUUUGGGAGCUACGAUUUUUUUGGUGAUUUUAAGGAUAUCCCGUGCAGAAAACAUUAUUCAGAGGUUUACUUUGGCUUUUGGAAUUAUUGAAUUGAAUCUAUUAAAGCUACAACAAAGCACACUUGGAGUACAACUAUACUUUAGAUUGAUUCACCCCUUACAGCAGCAGCCUGAUGGAAGUGAUGGGGAGAUACAAUGUGUUGGGUGGUUUAUAGCAUAUGGAGAAGUAGAAUAGAAGGCCUCAAGAAAACAGAGAAAUGAAACAGAAUACUUGAAAUAAACUAUUGUUUAUAAUGUAUAAUAAUGAUAUUUAAAGAAAUAUUUACUUUUCAAUUUAUAAAUAUACAUGUUUCAUCUGAAUAUUUAAUUUGGUUAUAUAUUGCUUUUGAGAACAAUACAUAAACAUGACACAAGAGAUUAUAGCUAAAAUAGAAAUGGAAGAGGUCUAAUGGAAUACUACAAAGCACUUGAGUCAUGCAAAAGAUAACAGGAAAAGAGAAACAAGUGAGCAAAAAACAGAUGGAAUCAAUAGAAUAAAAUAAAGUAAUACAGCUAAAUACAAUUAUAUCAAUAAUUAUGCUAAACAGGGAUAGAAUUAAGAAAAAAAAGCCAGGUUGAAUAAAAAGCAAGAUCCAGGUAUGUAGUAUGUAUAGGUAAUGAAUUCAACUAUAAAUAUAUACAGAGGAGAAAGUAAGGGUAGAGAAAGCUAUAUCAUACAAAAGUAUAAGAAAGCUGUUGCAGGUAUAUGAAUACUUCAAGCAGAAUAUCUAUUACCAGAUUGAGACUUAACAAUUAUAUAAGGGUCAGGUUACCAAAAAAAUAUAACGAUGCUAAGCAUAUUUUUACCUGAUAACAGAACUUCAACUUCACAAAGCCAAAAAUUGACAGAAAAAAAGGAAAAAAUGGACAUAUCUACCGUCAUAAUUGGAGAGUUUCACAUACCGUUUUUGUAUUUUAUAGAACAAAUAGACAAAAAAAGCAAAUGGUCUAGACUUUAUUGACUUUUAUUUAAUACCCCACUAUGCAACUGCAGAAAGUAUAUUUUUUCAAGAUCGUAGAAAACGUUGACCAAGAUAGAUGAUAUUCCUACUCAUAAAAUGUGUUGAUAAAUUUCAAGAAAUUGAAACAUACAGAAUCUAUCUAAAUGUGAGUAUUAAAUUAAAAGUCACAUGGCUUCCUUGUUAUAUUUUUAUUUUUAGUUUAAAAUAGUAUUUACAACCUCAAAUUCCUAAGAAUAAAUUUCAACAUGAUAUCUAAGACUUGUACACUGAGAACUAUUUAAAAAAAGGCAGAGAAAUGAAAGAAUUCUGAAACAAAAAGAGACCUAAAUAAAUAGUCAUGUGUUUGAAGAGACAAUAUUGUUAAAAUACCAUGGAAUACUACACAGCUGUUUAAAAAAAAUGAAAUCAUGUCCUUUGCAGCAACAUGGAUGCAGCUGGAGGCCAUUAUCCUGAGUGAAUUAAUGCAGGAACAGAAAACCAAAUACUGCAUGUUCUCACCUAUAAGCAGGAGUAAAACACUGAGCACACAUGAACACAAAGGCAGGAUAAAUGAACAAACUGCUGUCCUCAUACAAUCAAAUACUACUCAGCAAUACAAAAGAAGUGAGUUACUGGAACAUGCAACAAUAUCGAUGAACCUCAAAAAUGUAAA
Long non-coding RNA from Homo sapiens (human), 26737 nucleotides. RefSeq lists it as uncharacterized. NCBI's taxonomy places the organism in Eukaryota, Metazoa, Chordata, Mammalia, Primates, Hominidae. The transcript is spliced from 2 exons. The record is from RefSeq and is a predicted model, not a curated record.